RNAcentral lists this ribosomal RNA (705 nucleotides) under Roseovarius sp. RNAcentral describes it as "bacterial SSU rRNA". It matches the Rfam family "Bacterial small subunit ribosomal RNA", at positions 38 to 791 of the family's 1533-position model. Lineage: Bacteria; Pseudomonadati; Pseudomonadota; Alphaproteobacteria; Rhodobacterales; Roseobacteraceae. The record is from RNAcentral.
GGCUGCGCAGCUACACAUGCAGUCGAGCGAGAUCUUCGGAUCUAGCGGCGGACGGGUGAGUAACGCGUGGGAACGUACCCUCUUCUGCGGGAUAGCCACUGGAAACGGUGAGUAAUACCGCAUACGCCCUUCGGGGGAAAGAUUUAUCGGAGGAGGAUCGGCCCGCGUUGGAUUAGGUAGUUGGUGGGGUAAUGGCCUACCAAGCCUACGAUCCAUAGCUGGUUUUAGAGGAUGAUCAGCCACACUGGGACUGAGACACGGCCCAGACUCCUACGGGAGGCAGCAGUGGGGAAUCUUAGACAAUGGGCGCAAGCCUGAUCUAGCCAUGCCGCGUGAGUGACGAAGGCCUUAGGGUCGUAAAGCUCUUUCGCCUGUGAUGAUAAUGACAGUAGCAGGUAAAGAAACCCCGGCUAACUCCGUGCCAGCAGCCGCGGUAAUACGGAGGGGGUUAGCGUUGUUCGGAAUUACUGGGCGUAAAGCGCACGUAGGCGGAUUGGAAAGUAUGGGGUGAAAUCCCAGGGCUCAACCCUGGAACGGCCUCAUAAACUUCCAGUCUGGAGUUCGAGAGAGGUGAGUGGAAUUCCGAGUGUAGAGGUGAAAUUCGUAGAUAUUCGGAGGAACACCAGUGGCGAAGGCGGCUCACUGGCUCGAUACUGACGCUGAGGUGCGAAAGUGUGGGGAGCAAACAGGAUUAGAUACCCUGGU